Molecule: ribosomal RNA, 253 nt
Filed under: uncultured bacterium
Lineage: Bacteria
Description: partial 16S ribosomal RNA
Rfam family: Bacterial small subunit ribosomal RNA
Source: RNAcentral
CACGUAGGGCGCAAGCGUUGUCCGGAAUUAUUGGGCGUAAAGAGCUCGUAGGCGGACUGUCACGUCCGCUGUGAAAAGCUAGGGCUUAACCCUGGCCUUGCAGUGGAUACGGGCAGACUAGAGGUAGGUAGGGGAGAAUGGAAUUCCUGGUGUAGCGGUGAAAUGCGCAGAUAUCAGGAAGAACACCCGUGGCGAAGGCGGUUCUCUGGGAUGGUACUGACGCUGAGACGCGAAAGCGUGGGGAGCGAACAGG